This 245-nucleotide ribosomal RNA is filed under the name uncultured Bacteroidota bacterium. Its description in RNAcentral is "uncultured Bacteroidetes bacterium partial 16S ribosomal RNA". It matches the Rfam family "Bacterial small subunit ribosomal RNA", at positions 64 to 306 of the family's 1533-position model. The record is from RNAcentral. Lineage: Bacteria; Pseudomonadati; Bacteroidota.
GAACGGUAACAUUGGUGCUUGCACCAGAUGACGAGUGGCGCACGGGUGCGUAACGCGUAUGCAACCUACCUUUUACUAGAGUAUAGCCCAGAGAAAUUUGGAUUAAUCCUCUAUAACAUCUUUUAAUUUCAUGAUUAAUUGAUUAAAGUUUUAACGGUAAAAGAUGGGCAUGCGUCCUAUUAGUUUGUAGGUGAGGUAACGGCUCACCUAGACUACGAUAGGUAGGGGCCCUGAGAGGGGGAUCC